UACGAAGGGGGCGAGCGUUGUUCGGAUUUACUGGGCGUAAAGGGCGCGUAGGCGGCCCKWUUUGUCAGGCGUGAAAGCCCUGGGCUCAACCUGGGAAYUGCGCUUGGGRCGGWWGGGCUWGAGAUCGGGAGAGGAGAGUGGAAUUCCCAGUGUAGAGGUGAAAUUCGUAGAUAUUGGGAAGAACACCGGUGGCGAAGGCGGCUCUCUGGACCGACACUGACGCUGAGGCGCGAAAGCGUGGGGAGCAAACAGGAUUAGAUACCCUGGUAGUCCACGCUGUAAACGAUGUGUGCUAGACGUUGGGGAGCCUAGCUCUUCGGUGUCGCAGCUAACGCGGUAAGCACACCGCCUGGGGAGUACGGCCGCAAGGUUAAAACUCAAAG
This 383-nucleotide ribosomal RNA is filed under the name uncultured bacterium. RNAcentral's name for it is "bacterial SSU rRNA". It matches the Rfam family "Bacterial small subunit ribosomal RNA", at positions 524 to 906 of the family's 1533-position model. The record is from RNAcentral.